AUUGAACGCUGGCGGAAUGCUUUACACAUGCAAGUCGAACGGCAGCACGGGGCAACCUGGUGGCGAGUGGCGAACGGGUGAGUAAUACAUCGGAACGUGCCCAAUCGUGGGGGAUAACGUAGCGAAAGUUACGCUAAUACCGCAUACGAUCUACGGAUGAAAGCGGGGGAUCGCAAGACCUCGCGCGAAUGGAGCGGCCGAUGUCAGAUUAGGUAGUUGGUGGGGUAAAGGCUCACCAAGCCAACGAUCUGUAGCUGGUCUGAGAGGACGACCAGCCACACUGGAACUGAGACACGGUCCAGACUCCUACGGGAGGCAGCAGUGGGGAAUUUUGGACAAUGGGCGCAAGCCUGAUCCAGCAAUGCCGCGUGCAGGAUGAAGGCCUUCGGGUUGUAAACUGCUUUUGUACGGAACGAAAAGCUUCGGGCUAAUACCCUGAAGUCAUGACGGUACCGUAAGAAUAAGCACCGGCUAACUACGUG
RNAcentral lists this ribosomal RNA (482 nucleotides) under uncultured bacterium. Its description in RNAcentral is "bacterial SSU rRNA". It matches the Rfam family "Bacterial small subunit ribosomal RNA", at positions 30 to 507 of the family's 1533-position model. The record is from RNAcentral.